UAAUACGGGGGGAGCAAGCGUUGUUCGGAUUUACUGGGCGUAAAGGGCGCGUAGGCGGCCACGACAAGUCACUUGUGAAAUCUCCGGGCUUAACUCGGAAAGGUCAAGUGAUACUGUCGGGCUAGAGUGCAGAAGGGGCAACUGGAAUUCUCGGUGUAGCGGUGAAAUGCGUAGAUAUCGAGAGGAACACCUGCGGCGAAGGCGGGUUGCUGGGCUGACACUGACGCUGAGGCGCGAAAGCUAGGGGAGCGAACGGGAUUAGAUACCCCGGUAGUCCUAGCCUUAAACGAUGAAUGCUUGGUGUCUCGGGUUAUAAAGUCCCGGGGUGCCGUCGCCAACGCUGUAAGCAUUCCGCCUGGGGAGUACGGUCGCAAGACU
Molecule: ribosomal RNA, 378 nt
Filed under: uncultured bacterium
Lineage: Bacteria
Description: bacterial SSU rRNA
Rfam family: Bacterial small subunit ribosomal RNA
Source: RNAcentral